CCUUGUACACACCGCCCGUCAAGCCAUGGGAGCUUGGGGCGCCUGAAGACGGUGACUUUGAUGGGAGCUGCCUAAGGCGAAACAGGUGACUGGGGCU
This 97-nucleotide ribosomal RNA is filed under the name uncultured bacterium. Its description in RNAcentral is "partial 16S ribosomal RNA". It matches the Rfam family "Bacterial small subunit ribosomal RNA", at positions 1379 to 1482 of the family's 1533-position model. The record is from RNAcentral.